GAUCCUGGCUUAGGAUGAACGCUAGCUACAGGCUUAACACGUGCAAGUCGAGGGGCAGCAUGGUCUUAGCUUGCUAAGACUGAUGGCGACCGGCGCACGGGUGAGUAACACGUAUCCAACCUGCCGUCUACUCUUGGACAGCCUUCUGAAAGGAAGAUUAAUACAAGAUGGCAUCAUGAGUCCGCAUGUUCACAUGAUUAAAGGUAUUCCGGUAGACGAUGGGGAUGCG
RNAcentral lists this ribosomal RNA (229 nucleotides) under uncultured bacterium. RNAcentral's name for it is "partial 16S ribosomal RNA". It matches the Rfam family "Bacterial small subunit ribosomal RNA", at positions 15 to 235 of the family's 1533-position model. The record is from RNAcentral.